UGGAGACAAAGAGAAGCAGCUAUUUGCUAAGGCCACAUGUCAGAGACAGAGAUGGGGCCAGAACCUGGGUCUCCUGACUUCUGGCCUGAAGUCUUUUCAUUAAACCACACCACCCCACACCCCCAGGAAAAGGCUCCUGACAUUACUGGGUACAGAGGCAUGAUGCUUGUUUUUUCAGACCAGCUGUUACAGAUCUAUUUUAGGACAAGCACUUUGAAAAUCAUGGAAGAGGAAUAGGAAGCAAGAUCACCAAGUUGAGAGGAAGAAUGGAAAUGGAAGUUCAAGAAGAAAACGUACCAAAUAGGCAUCUGGGAGAGUCACAGACUGAACAGUCUAGGGAAGUUUUCCAACUGGUCUCCGUGCCCCUUUACACUCCUAAAAAAAUAAUUAUGGAGAAUCCUCAGCA
This is a non-coding RNA of Odocoileus virginianus texanus, 406 nucleotides long. Lineage: Eukaryota; Metazoa; Chordata; Mammalia; Artiodactyla; Cervidae. The record is from RefSeq and is a predicted model, not a curated record.